This 563-nucleotide ribosomal RNA is filed under the name Citrobacter koseri. Its description in RNAcentral is "partial 23S ribosomal RNA". It matches the Rfam family "Bacterial large subunit ribosomal RNA", at positions 2259 to 2821 of the family's 2925-position model. Lineage: Bacteria; Pseudomonadati; Pseudomonadota; Gammaproteobacteria; Enterobacterales; Enterobacteriaceae. The record is from RNAcentral.
UGGUGGGUAGUUUGACUGGGGCGGUCUCCUCCUAAAGAGUAACGGAGGAGCACGAAGGUCAGCUAAUCCUGGUCGGACAUCAGGAGGUUAGUGCAAUGGCAUAAGCUGGCUUGACUGCGAGCGUGACGGCGCGAGCAGGUGCGAAAGCAGGUCAUAGUGAUCCGGUGGUUCUGAAUGGAAGGGCCAUCGCUCAACGGAUAAAAGGUACUCCGGGGAUAACAGGCUGAUACCGCCCAAGAGUUCAUAUCGACGGCGGUGUUUGGCACCUCGAUGUCGGCUCAUCACAUCCUGGGGCUGAAGUAGGUCCCAAGGGUAUGGCUGUUCGCCAUUUAAAGUGGUACGCGAGCUGGGUUUAGAACGUCGUGAGACAGUUCGGUCCCUAUCUGCCGUGGGCGCUGGAGAACUGAGGGGGGCUGCUCCUAGUACGAGAGGACCGGAGUGGACGCAUCACUGGUGUUCGGGUUGUCAUGCCAAUGGCACUGCCCGGUAGCUAAAUGCGGAAGAGAUAAGUGCUGAAAGCAUCUAAGCACGAAACUUGCCCCGAGAUGAGUUCUCCCUGACUC